This 202-nucleotide ribosomal RNA is filed under the name uncultured bacterium. Its description in RNAcentral is "partial 16S ribosomal RNA". It matches the Rfam family "Bacterial small subunit ribosomal RNA", at positions 1299 to 1500 of the family's 1533-position model. The record is from RNAcentral.
UGUAGUCUGCAACCCGACUACAUGAAGCUGGAAUCGCUAGUAAUCGCGGAUCAGAAUGCCGCGGUGAAUACGUUCCCGGGUCUUGUACACACCGCCCGUCACACCAUGGGAGUCGGAAAUGCCCGAAGUCUGUGACCCAACCGGAAGGAAGGAGCAGCCGAAGGCAGGUCUGAUGACUGGGGUGAAGUCGUAACAAGGUACC